UACGCCAGUCAGGGCCGGUGCAAGGAUUUUUGCCGCCCUAGGCAAAAGUAAAGUUUGACGCCCCCUUCCUCCCCCCCGUGACAUCGCAAUGCCCCACCCAUAUGACCUGCCAUGUUAACUAACGCUAGUGCUGCAGUGCCGCUGUGUUUAUAUUAAAAGGCCUGCAGGGACAGGCUAUAGACACCAGGACCACUACAUUAAGGUGCAGUGGUUCUGGGGACUAUAGUUUUUCUUUAAUGUGAGGUAAAUUAGAGAUUAGUGCCAC
Molecule: non-coding RNA, 265 nt
Organism: Pelobates cultripes (western spadefoot toad)
Lineage: Eukaryota; Metazoa; Chordata; Amphibia; Anura; Pelobatidae
Source: the annotation of a GenBank genome assembly